GGGCUCGUAGCUCAGUGGCAGAGCGGGCGGCUCAUAACCGUCUGGUCGUAGGUUCGAAUCCUGCCGAGCCCAC
This 73-nucleotide transfer RNA is filed under the name subsurface metagenome. Its description in RNAcentral is "tRNA-Met". It matches the Rfam family "tRNA". From Rfam's summary of the family: Transfer RNA (tRNA) molecules are approximately 80 nucleotides in length. Their secondary structure includes four short double-helical elements and three loops (D, anti-codon, and T loops). Further hydrogen bonds mediate the characteristic L-shaped molecular structure. tRNAs have two regions of fundamental functional importance: the anti-codon, which is responsible for specific mRNA codon recognition, and the 3' end, to which the tRNAs corresponding amino acid is attached (by aminoacyl-tRNA synthetases). tRNAs cope with the degeneracy of the genetic code in two manners: having more than one tRNA (with a specific anti-codon) for a particular amino acid; and 'wobble' base-pairing, i.e. permitting non-standard base-pairing at the 3rd anti-codon position. The record is from RNAcentral.